CCCUGAAACUACUUUUCAAAAGUAGGCAAGUAUGCUGCAACUCCCAUCCUGUUAUUGUGAGGCAGCCAGCUUGCAGAGAUGCAGGCUCCAGGCUAUGCUUGUGAAAUUGGAUUAGGCUCAUUAGGAGCAGUGAUUUGAACCCUUUCCUGCAUAACCCUGGACAUUAUCAUGCUACUAAAUGCAGCAUCAUGGGGAGCCGGCCGGCUGGAGAUCAGAUCAUUCACAGCUUGACAUAGAACAUGACUGGUCCCCCAGGAAGAUCCUGUGUGCUGGAGAUUAUCCGUGUAACCCCGUUACUGCAGCUGCUGACUCACACUCAGCGUCUCCGUUACCCCAUCACUGAGUAUCUGGUCAGAGCUUCCUGCGCCCCUCGCUGACCCCGGCACAUCCUGAGUGGACCAGCCUGGGAUGUAGUCAGUUGUGUAACAGGAGGAAGGAGGGGCCCAUCCCUGGAGCAUGGAGGGUGGUACCAGGAGUGAUCUGCCUCAUUGUAUUCCUCAAGCAAUGGGUCAGCACCUUCAGUCCUCUGGAACUUAUUCUGCGCUUGGAAUUUCAUCUUCUGCUUGAACGCAGAACAGGAUAUUUUUGUUCUACGCAGGUGAAACUUGCUGGAGUUCAACGCUGGAUACCCCAGGUUCCGUUGUACAUUACACCUCUUGUGAUGCAGGGUGGUAGCUCACCCUCUGAUCAGCAUAUCGCUGUAGUGCCCAGGGUCUGGAAGGUUUCGGGUCGCAAGCUGUAAGGAGCCCCCUCCCGGUAUUCCCUGACCCUGUCUGGAAUGCACUGAGGAUGUUGGGGUGCAGGCUGACUAACAUGAAUGGAUCUGUGGAGGACACCCAGAUGGAGACGGGUGACAUUAAUCGGGUAAUGAGGAGCUUGGAAACUGGGACGGACCUCACCCUCUUUUACCAGAAGAAGUCCCAGCGGCCGGAGAGGAGAACCUCCCAGGUGAAGCUGCACACCAGGCAAGUCAUGAUUCAGAACCCCGGAGAAAGUUCACACUCAUCACAAGAGGAAGGACCACAAGCCUGUCCCUCUAAAGGUCCCUGAGAGCUUCCCGAAAGAUCCGGGCCUGAGCAAGAUCCCGCGGGAGACCCUGGAGCUGUUUGCCGUGCUGUGCAUAGAGACCAGUCACUAUGUUUCCUUUGUGAAGUACGGCGCAGGGACAGACAGCUGGAUAUUCUUUGACAGCAUGGCCGACCGAUUUGGUAGUGAGAACGGGUACAACAUACCCCGGGUCAGCUGUUGCCCAGAGGUGGCCACUUACCUGUCUUCUCUGCUGGAAGAACUCGUCAGCCAGAACCCGCGUGAGAUGAAAGGCGUGGCUAAGCGGCUCUUCUGUGACGUCUACAUGUACAUGUAUCAGAGCAAGAGGAUGGCCCUCUACAAGUGAGAGAUAGAAACGCUGAGUAUCGCAUUUAGCAGGAUACCUGGCCGCCUUUUCCCAUGGUCCUGUGACCUGUAUGCCGGACAUAUAUCUGGGAUAAACUGGCAGCAUCGGACUCCAUGUGGAAUUAUACCAGAAGGAGGUCACCCCUCCAUUACUCAGAGGGGGGGUAAAUUUACUAAGAUGGGAGUUCUAUUCAAGAUGGGAUGUUGCCUAUAG
Long non-coding RNA from Pseudophryne corroboree (corroboree frog), 1606 nucleotides. RefSeq lists it as uncharacterized. The transcript has 3 exons. The record is from RefSeq and is a predicted model, not a curated record. NCBI's taxonomy places the organism in Eukaryota, Metazoa, Chordata, Amphibia, Anura, Myobatrachidae.